RNAcentral lists this ribosomal RNA (427 nucleotides) under uncultured bacterium. Its description in RNAcentral is "partial 16S ribosomal RNA". It matches the Rfam family "Bacterial small subunit ribosomal RNA", at positions 355 to 774 of the family's 1533-position model. The record is from RNAcentral.
UGGGGAAUAUUGGACAAUGGGCGAAAGCCUGAUCCAGCCAUGCCGCGUGUGUGAAGAAGGUCUUCGGAUUGUAAAGCACUUUAAGUUGGGAGGAAGGGCAUUAACCUAAUACGUUAGUGUUUUGACGUUACCGACAGAAUAAGCACCGGCUAACUCUGUGCCAGCAGCCGCGGUAAUACAGAGGGUGCAAGCGUUAAUCGGAAUUACUGGGCGUAAAGCGCGCGUAGGUGGUUUGUUAAGUUGGAUGUGAAAUCCCCGGGCUCAACCUGGGAACUGCAUUCAAAACUGACUGACUAGAGUAUGGCAGAGGGUGGUGGAAUUUCCUGUGUAGCGGUGAAAUGCGUAGAUAUAGGAAGGAACACCGGUGGCGAAGGCGACCACCUGGACUAAUACUGACACUGAGGUGCGAAAGCGUGGGGAGCAAACA